RNAcentral lists this ribosomal RNA (297 nucleotides) under uncultured bacterium. Its description in RNAcentral is "partial 16S ribosomal RNA". It matches the Rfam family "Bacterial small subunit ribosomal RNA", at positions 333 to 627 of the family's 1533-position model. The record is from RNAcentral.
GUCCGCCUACGGGGGGCAGCAGUGAGGAAUAUUGGUCAAUGGACGCAAGUCUGAACCAGCCAUGCCGCGUGCGGGAAGACGGCUCUAUGGGUUGUAAACUGCUUUUGUACGAGGGUAAACGCAGAUACGCGUAUCUGCCUGAAAGUAUCGUACGAAUAAGGAUCGGCUAACUCCGUGCCAGCAGCCGCGGUAAUACGGAGGAUUCAAGCGUUAUCCGGAUUUAUUGGGUUUAAAGGGUGCGUAGGCGGUCGGAUAAGUUAGAGGUGAAAUCCCGAGGCGCAACUUCGGAAUUGCCUC